GACGAACGCUGGCGGCGUGCUUAACACAUGCAAGUCGAACGGAAAGGCCCUGCUUUUGUGGGGUGCUCGAGUGGCGAACGGGUGAGUAACACGUGAGUAACCUGCCCUUGACUUUGGGAUAACUUCAGGAAACUGGGGCUAAUACCGGAUAGGAGCUCCUGCUGCAUGGUGGGGGUUGGAAAGUUUCGGCGGUUGGGGAUGGUCUCGCGGCUUAUCAGCUUGUUGGUGGGGUUGUGGCUUACCAAGGCUUUGACGGGUAGCCGGCCUGAGAGGGUGACCGGCCACAUUGGGAUUGGGGUGCGACCCAGACUCAUACGGGAGGCAGCAGUGGGGAAUAUAGCGCGAUAGGCGGAGGCCUGAUGCAGGAUCGCCGGGUGGGGGAUGACUGCCUUCGGGUAGGAAACCGCUUGCGCCUGUGACGAAGCGUGAGUGACGGUAAUGGGUAAAGAAGCACCGGCUAACUACGG
This 467-nucleotide ribosomal RNA is filed under the name uncultured bacterium. Its description in RNAcentral is "partial 16S ribosomal RNA". It matches the Rfam family "Bacterial small subunit ribosomal RNA", at positions 28 to 506 of the family's 1533-position model. The record is from RNAcentral.